GGCUGGUCUGAAGGUAGAGUGAUCUCAAUUAAUUGUACAGUUACGGAUUGAACUCCUUGUUCUAUCCUUUCCCCCUUCUCACUACUACACUUGACCAGACUUAA
Molecule: Y RNA, 104 nt
Filed under: Cebus imitator (Panamanian white-faced capuchin)
Lineage: Eukaryota; Metazoa; Chordata; Mammalia; Primates; Cebidae
Description: Y RNA (ENSCCAG00000014120.1)
Rfam family: Y RNA
About the family: Y RNAs are components of the Ro ribonucleoprotein particle (Ro RNP), in association with Ro60 and La proteins. The Y RNAs and Ro60 and La proteins are well conserved, but the function of the Ro RNP is not known.
Source: Rfam by way of RNAcentral